GACGAACGCUGGCGGCGUGCUUAACACAUGCAAGUCGAACGGAAAGGCCCUGCUUUUGUGUGGUGCUCGAGUGGCGAACGGGUGAGUAACACGUGAGUAACCUGCCCUUGACUUUGGGAUAACUUCAGGAAACUGGGGCUAAUACCGGAUAGGAGCUCCUGCUGCAUGGUGGGGGUUGGAAAGUUUCGGCGGUUGGGGAUGGACUCGCGGCUUAUCAGCUUGUUGGGGGGGUAGUGGCUUACCAAGGCUUUGACGGGUAGCCGGCCUGAGAGGGUGACCGGCCACAUUGGGACUGAGAUACGGCCCAGACUCCUACGGGAGGCAGCAGUGGGGAAUAUUGCACAAUGGGCGGAAGCCUGAUGCAGCAACGCCGCGUGCGGGAUGACGGCCUUCGGGUUGUAAACCGCUUUCGCCUGUGACGAAGCGUGAGUGACGGUAAUGGGUAAAGAAGCACCGGCUAACUACGUG
Molecule: ribosomal RNA, 468 nt
Filed under: uncultured bacterium
Lineage: Bacteria
Description: partial 16S ribosomal RNA
Rfam family: Bacterial small subunit ribosomal RNA
Source: RNAcentral